AUACGUAGGUGGCAAGCGUUAUCCGGAAUUAUUGGGCGUAAAGAGUGAGCAGGCGGUUAAUUAAGUCUGAGGUUAAAGCGUGGGGCUCAACCCCAUAAAGCCUUUGAAAAUGAUUGACUAGAGGACGGGAGAAGUGAAGGGAACUCCCUGUGUAGCGGUGAAAUGCGUAGAUAUAUGGAAGAACACCAGUGGCGAAGGCGCUUCACUAGCCCGAAACUGACGCUCAGUCACGAAAGCGUGGGUAGCAAAUAGGAUUAGAUACCCUAGUAGUCCACGCUGUAAACGAUGACAACUAAAUAUUGCCGCGAGGCAGUGUUGAAGCUAACGCAUUAAGUUGUCCGCCUGGGGAGUACGGUCGCAAGACUGAAACUCAAAGGAAUUGACGGGG
RNAcentral lists this ribosomal RNA (388 nucleotides) under uncultured bacterium. Its description in RNAcentral is "partial 16S ribosomal RNA". It matches the Rfam family "Bacterial small subunit ribosomal RNA", at positions 523 to 918 of the family's 1533-position model. The record is from RNAcentral.